CCUGGCUCAGAUUGAACGCUGGCGGCAUGCCUAACACAUGCAAGUCGAACGGCAGCAUAGUCAAGCUUGCUUGACUGAUGGCGAGUGGCGAACGGGUGAGUAACGCGUAGGAAUAUACCUUAAAGAGGGGGAUAACUUGGGGAAACUCAGGCUAAUACCGCAUAAUUUCCGAGGAAAAAAGCUGGGGACCUUCGGGCCUGGCGCUUUAAGAUUAGCCU
This 218-nucleotide ribosomal RNA is filed under the name uncultured bacterium. Its description in RNAcentral is "partial 16S ribosomal RNA". It matches the Rfam family "Bacterial small subunit ribosomal RNA", at positions 18 to 232 of the family's 1533-position model. The record is from RNAcentral.